Long non-coding RNA from Equus caballus (horse), 479 nucleotides. RefSeq lists it as uncharacterized. NCBI's taxonomy places the organism in Eukaryota, Metazoa, Chordata, Mammalia, Perissodactyla, Equidae. The record is from RefSeq and is a predicted model, not a curated record.
CGGAAGACCUCCUGGCGGCUCCCUGGCGCCCAAGGGCGGCGCGACCUGGCCCUUGGUUCUGGCCGGGACGGGCCUGCCCUCCCGGACCCUCUGCCUGCGCUGGGAAAGCCGCCCGCGCCACCCCACGGCGGAAGCUGUGAACAAAUGAAUGUAGACACUGGGGACGUGGAGGAACUCCCCAGGUGAGGAAGGAUGACAGACAACGACAUGCUGCCUGCAAAGGAUCAAGAACUCCAGAUUUUGUAGGGGUGGAAGACAUUUCCUCUACCCUCUGGGUGCUUCUGGCUGGGCUGUGAAUCGAAUUGACAUGAGACAGAAUAACAGGAGAAAACCAAACAAAGGUGUAUAAUAUGUACACAUGGGAGAGACUCAGGAAAACUGAGCAGCUCACCAAAAGGGCAGAGGCUCUCAUCUUAAAUACCAUCUUCAGGGGCUGGCCCCGUGGCCGAGCGGUUAAGUUCGCGCGCUCCGCUGCAGGC